This 433-nucleotide ribosomal RNA is filed under the name uncultured bacterium. RNAcentral describes it as "partial 16S ribosomal RNA". It matches the Rfam family "Bacterial small subunit ribosomal RNA", at positions 29 to 507 of the family's 1533-position model. The record is from RNAcentral.
AGCGAACGCUGGCGGCAGGCUUAACACAUGCAAGUCGAGCGGGCACUUCGGUGUCAGCGGCAGACGGGUGAGUAACACGUGGGAACGUACCCUUUGGUUCGGAAUAACGCUGGGAAACUAGCGCUAAUACCGGAUACGCCCUUUUGGGGAAAGGCUUGCUGCCGAAGGAUCGGCCCGCGUCUGAUUAGCUAGUUGGUGGGGUAAUGGCCUACCAAGGCGACGAUCAGUAGCUGGUCUGAGAGGAUGAUCAGCCACACUGGGACUGAGACACGGCCCAGACUCCUACGGGAGGGAGCAGUGGGGAAUAUUGGAGAAUGGGCGCAAGCCUGAUCCAGCCAUGCCGCGUGAGUGAUGAAGGCCUUAGGGUUGUAAAGCUCUUUUGUCCGGGACGAUAAUGACGGUACCGGAAGAAUAAGCCCCGGCUAACUUCGUG